CCUACGGGAGACAGCAGUGGGGAAUAUUGCACAAUGGGGGAAACCCUGAUGCAGCAACGCCGCGUGAAGGAAGACGGUUGUCGGAUUGUAAACUUCUGUUAUUAGGGAAGAAGAAUGACGGUAGCGAAGGAGCAAGCCACGGCUAACUACGUGCCAGCAGCCGCGGGAAUACGUAGGUGGCAAGCGUUGCCCGGAAUUACUGGGUGGAAAGGGAGCGCAGGCGGGACGCCAAGUCAGAUGUGAAAACUACGGGCUUAACUUGUAGACUGCAGUUGAAACUGGUUUUCUUGAGUGAAGUGGAUGUUGGCGGCAUUCCUCGUGUAGCGGUGCAAUGCGUCGCUAUUCGGAGGAACACCGGUGGCGAAGGCGGCCCACUGGUCUUUAACUGCCGCUGAGGCUCG
Molecule: ribosomal RNA, 401 nt
Filed under: uncultured bacterium
Lineage: Bacteria
Description: partial 16S ribosomal RNA
Rfam family: Bacterial small subunit ribosomal RNA
Source: RNAcentral